AACGGUGUACAUAAACAAACCUCGCACAUUGAAUGAACUUAAAGGAGCCAUAUGCAUGGAAAUCGCUGCCAUACCAUAGCAAAUGUUGGGGCGUGUUUUUGACAGCUUCGGCAGGAGACUUGAAGAGUACAUGGCGAGAAAUGGAUGCCAUUUGGAUGAUGUCAUCUUCACAACGUAAGACUUUGUUUUCAAGGUUUGUGUUACUAUCUGUUAAAUGGCACAUGUACCCCAAUAUGUUGCAUAAAUAAACACAUUUAAAGGUUUUGUAAUAAGUGCGUUAUUUUUAAUUAAAAACCAUCGGAUCUUUUUGCCG
This 313-nucleotide long non-coding RNA is filed under the name Androctonus crassicauda. The record is from RNAcentral. Lineage: Eukaryota; Metazoa; Arthropoda; Arachnida; Scorpiones; Buthidae.